UUGUAUUCAAGUGUAUUCGACUGUAUUUAUGGCAUGAAACAUGGAAUUACACUGUUUUUAAACGGAAAGUGAAUCAAUUAACAUAAUAGACUCUU
RNAcentral lists this microRNA precursor (95 nucleotides) under Nicotiana sylvestris (wood tobacco). Its description in RNAcentral is "MIR6152 microRNA precursor family". It matches the Rfam family "MIR6152 microRNA precursor family". Lineage: Eukaryota; Viridiplantae; Streptophyta; Magnoliopsida; Solanales; Solanaceae. The record is from Rfam by way of RNAcentral.